Molecule: ribosomal RNA, 448 nt
Filed under: uncultured organism
Description: bacterial SSU rRNA
Rfam family: Bacterial small subunit ribosomal RNA
Source: RNAcentral
UGCAGUCGUACGAGAGUUUUUAACUCAAGUGGCGGACGGGUGAGUAACACGUAAGAAUUUACCUUUAGGAGGGGGAUAACAGCGUAUCAAUAGAUAUUACGGAAACGGCUGCUAAUACCCCAUAUGCUUUUGAGUGAAAUAGAUUUAUCUGCCUAAAGAGAAGCUCGCGGCUGAUUAGCUUGUUGGUAAGGUAAUGGCUUACCAAGGCGACGAUCAGUAUCUGGUUUGAGAGGACGAUCAGACACACUGGAACUGAGACACGGUCCAGACUCCUACGGGAGGCAGCAGUGGGGAAUUUUCCGCAAUGGGCGAAAGCCUGACGGAGCAAUACCGCGUGAGGGAAGACGGCCUAUGGGUUGUAAACCUCUUUUUUUCAGGGAGGAAUUCAAUGACGUGUACCUGAGGAAUAAGCAUCGGCUAACUCCGUGCCAGCAGCCGCGGUAAUACG